RNAcentral lists this unclassified non-coding RNA (554 nucleotides) under Iphionopsis oblanceolata. Its description in RNAcentral is "contains 3 external transcribed spacer, ETS". Lineage: Eukaryota; Viridiplantae; Streptophyta; Magnoliopsida; Asterales; Asteraceae. The record is from RNAcentral.
GCAUCUUGGGGGUUGUUUUGAUUGGUUUGUUUCCGGUGGUUGGCUCUCUGCUUGCGCAACAACUUCCACCUGGCAUACCUCUUCAGUUACACGUCAAGGUCUUAUUGCCUUGCGUACCUUGUGGGUUUACUGUGUUGCAUACCUAUGUGACGGUAUUGUUUGGUUCUAUCAAAGUCAGUUUCGUCUUUCGUCAUGCUUGUGGCGUGGGAUGAACCAAAAAGCGGUCUCUUUGGUCUACCUUGUUAACACAUACGUGUUGAUGUUGUAGCCCAUUGAGCUUUGCUUGGUUUUGUGGAUACGGAACAUGGCCUGGGCAUGGGGUCUUUCGUGAUCCUUGUUUUGUCCAAAUUGAACGUUUUCGUUUCUCUAAGACGACUGCCUAGCCCGAAUUGGCUCGUACCACCGGGUAGGAUAUGUUGCUGAAGAGGGACGUUAGCGUUCUUGCUUCUCAUUAAACGACGGCCUAGCCCGUAUUGGCUCGUACCAGCGGGUUGGUGAUGUCGAAGAGGGAUGCUACCUGGUUGAUCCUGCCAGUAGUCAUAUGCUUGUCUCAA